Molecule: transfer RNA, 93 nt
Filed under: Psychromonas sp. CNPT3
Lineage: Bacteria; Pseudomonadati; Pseudomonadota; Gammaproteobacteria; Alteromonadales; Psychromonadaceae
Also listed under: 2 other names
Description: tRNA-Ser (GCT) (tRNA-Ser-GCT-1-1)
Rfam family: tRNA
About the family: Transfer RNA (tRNA) molecules are approximately 80 nucleotides in length. Their secondary structure includes four short double-helical elements and three loops (D, anti-codon, and T loops).
Source: RNAcentral
GGUGGGGUGGCCGAGUGGCCGAAGGCGCUCCCCUGCUAAGGGAGUAACGGGUUUAUAGCCCGUUCGAGAGUUCGAAUCUCUCCUCCACCGCCA